Long non-coding RNA from Cucumis sativus (cucumber), 525 nucleotides. RefSeq lists it as uncharacterized. The transcript is spliced from 2 exons. Lineage: Eukaryota; Viridiplantae; Streptophyta; Magnoliopsida; Cucurbitales; Cucurbitaceae. The record is from RefSeq and is a predicted model, not a curated record.
GAGUUCAUCGAAAAGAGAGAAAAGGUUUUUAGAAAGAGAGUUUGAGGUCAAUGGGUUUAAAGAGAGAGUCCAUAUUUUUUAGUGUUAUGCUUCUUCUUCUUCUUUCAAAUAUGGCAACAGGGAGAGUACUCUUCCAUUCUACUUCACUUCAUGCAGAUUUUGAGACGAUGAAUAUGGAUGGGAAGAAUAGGGAUGGGAGUCGUUUUCUGAGUUCGGCUCUGCCUCGAGGUGGCAACUAUAUUAACAAACCCCAUGCAGCAGAGAAGGCUGCGGUUGGACGCGCCGGCUACCAACCAUGACGGCUAUGGAAAACUGGUUAUGAGAGAGUGUAGUACUUCAUGAUGAUCAUAUAUAAUAUAAAUACACUGUGGCUGAAGUAUCAUGAAUAAAAACAUGGGUUUUAAGUCAACAACGUAAGCAUUUUUAUUUGUGAAUGUUGUCUCAAAUUAGUGUUUGACAUGAUGAUAUAUACCAUGAAACGUUUUGUAGUAGAAUUAUAUUUUUGAAGUGAUGAUGUUGUUGAUU